UACGGGGGGGGCAAGCGUUGUUCGGAAUUACUGGGCGUAAAGGGCUCGUAGGCGGCCAACUAAGUCAGACGUGAAAUCCCUCGGCUUAACCGGGGAACUGCAUCUGAUACUGGAUGGCUUGAGUUCGGGAGAGGGAUGUGGAAUUCCAGGUGUAGCGGUGAAAUGCGUAGAUAUCUGGAGGAACACCGGUGGCGAAGGCGGCAUCCUGGACCGGUAUUGACGCUGAUGAGCGAAAGCCAGGGGAGCAAACGGG
This 253-nucleotide ribosomal RNA is filed under the name uncultured bacterium. RNAcentral describes it as "partial 16S ribosomal RNA". It matches the Rfam family "Bacterial small subunit ribosomal RNA", at positions 524 to 776 of the family's 1533-position model. The record is from RNAcentral.